ACUCCUACGGGAGGCAGCAGUGGGGAAUCUUAGACAAUGGGGGAAACCCUGAUCUAGCCAUGCCGCGUGAGCGAUGAAGGCCUUAGGGUUGUAAAGCUCUUUCAGCUGGGAAGAUAAUGACGGUACCAGCAGAAGAAGCCCCGGCUAACUCCGUGCCAGCAGCCGCGGUAAUACGGAGGGUGCGAGCGUUAUCCGGAUUUAUUGGGUUUAAAGGGUCCGUAGGCGGAUUAAUAAGUCAGUGGUGAAAUCCCAUCGCUUAACGAUGGAACUGCCAUUGAUACUGUUAGUCUUGAAUGAGGGUGCAGUGGUUGGAAUGUGUAGUGUAGCGGUGAAAUGCAUAGAUAUUACACAGAACACCGAUUGCGAAGGCAGAUCACUAACCCUAAAUUGACGCUGAGGACGAAAGCGUGGGGAGCGAACAGGAUUAGAUA
Molecule: ribosomal RNA, 431 nt
Filed under: uncultured bacterium
Lineage: Bacteria
Description: bacterial SSU rRNA
Rfam family: Bacterial small subunit ribosomal RNA
Source: RNAcentral